Molecule: ribosomal RNA, 301 nt
Filed under: uncultured bacterium
Lineage: Bacteria
Description: partial 16S ribosomal RNA
Rfam family: Bacterial small subunit ribosomal RNA
Source: RNAcentral
CAGUAGCCACGGGAAUACGAAGGGUGCAAGCGUUAAUCGGAAUUACUGGGCGUAAAGCGUGCGUAGGCGGUGAGUUAAGUCUGCUGUGAAAUCCCCGGGCUCAACCUGGGAAUGGCAGUGGAUACUGGCUCGCUAGAGUGUGUCAGAGGAUGGUGGAAUUCCCGGUGUAGCGGUAAAAUGCGUAGAGAUCGGGAGGAACAUCAGUGGCGAAGGCGGCCAUCUGGGACAACACUGACGCUGAGGCACGAAAGCGUGGGGAGCAAACAGGAUUAGAUACCCCCGUAGUCCCUGUCUCUUAUAC